UACAGAGGUGGCAAGCGUUGCUCGGUAUCACUGGGCUUAAAGGGCGCGUAGGCGGUGCGGUACGGUUUCGGUGAAAUCCCUCGGCCCAACCGAGGAACAGCCGGGGCUACGGCCGCACUAGACGGCAUCAGGGGACAGUGGAACUCCCGGUGGAGCGGUGAAAUGCGUAGAUAUCGGGGGGAACACCGGUGGCGAAGGCGGGACUCUGGGCCGAUACUGACGCUGAGGAGCGAAAGCGUGGGGAGCGAACAGG
This 253-nucleotide ribosomal RNA is filed under the name uncultured bacterium. Its description in RNAcentral is "partial 16S ribosomal RNA". It matches the Rfam family "Bacterial small subunit ribosomal RNA", at positions 524 to 776 of the family's 1533-position model. The record is from RNAcentral.